This 330-nucleotide ribosomal RNA is filed under the name uncultured eukaryote. RNAcentral's name for it is "partial 18S ribosomal RNA". It matches the Rfam family "Eukaryotic small subunit ribosomal RNA", at positions 1470 to 1796 of the family's 1831-position model. The record is from RNAcentral.
CCCUUAGAUGUUCUGGGCAGCACGCGCGCUACACUGAUGCGCUCAACGAGUUUAUGACCUUGCCCGGAAGGGUUGGGUAAUCUUUUCAAAACGCAUCGUGAUGGGGAUAGAUUAUUGCAAUUAUUAAUCUUCAACGAGGAAUUCCUAGUAAGCGCGAGUCAUCAGCUCGUGCUGAUUACGUCCCUGCCCUUUGUACACACCGCCCGUCGCUCCUACCGAUUGAAUGUUCCGAUGAAUACCAUGGACUGAGAGUAUGAAUGGGUUCGCCUAUUUCUGCUUCUCGGGAAGUGGAGUAAACCUUAACAUUUAGAGGAAGGAGAAGUCGUAACA